This 495-nucleotide ribosomal RNA is filed under the name uncultured bacterium. RNAcentral describes it as "partial 16S ribosomal RNA". It matches the Rfam family "Bacterial small subunit ribosomal RNA", at positions 28 to 507 of the family's 1533-position model. The record is from RNAcentral.
GACGAACGCUGGCGGCGUGCCUAAUACAUGCAAGUAGAACGCUGAAGGAGGAGCUUGCUUCUCUGGAUGAGUUGCGAACGGGUGAGUAACGCGUAGGUAACCUGCCUGUUAGCGGGGGAUAACUAUUGGAAACGAUAGCUAAUACCGCAUAAGAGUAGAUGUUGCAUGACAUUUGCUUAAAAGGUGCAAUUGCAUCACUACCAGAUGGACCUGCGUUGUAUUAGCUAGUUGGUGGGGUAACGGCUUACCAAGGCGACGAUACAUAGCCGACCUGAGAGGGGGGUCGGCCACCCUGGGACUGGGACACGGCCCAGACUCCUACGGGAGGCAGCAGUAGGGGAUCUUCGGCAAUGGACGGAAGGCUUACCGAGCAACGCCGCGUGAGUGAAGAAGGUUUUCGGAUCGUAAAGCUCUGUUGUAAGAGAAGAACGAGUGUGAGAGUGGAAAGUUCACACUGUGACGGUAUCUUACCAGAAAGGGACGGCUAACUACGUG